GAUGAACGCUGGCGGCGUGCCUAAUACAUGCAAGUCGAGCGAACAGAUGAGGAGCUUGCUCCUCUGACGUUAGCGGCGGACGGGUGAGUAACACGUGGAUAACCUACCUAUAAGACUGGGAUAACUUCGGGAAACCGGAGCUAAUACCGGAUAAUAUAUUGAACCGCAUGGUUCAAUAGUGAAAGACGGUUUUGCUGUCACUUAUAGAUGGAUCCGCGCCGCAUUAGCUAGUUGGUAAGGUAACGGCUUACCAAGGCAACGAUGCGUAGCCGACCUGAGAGGGUGAUCGGCCACACUGGAACUGGGACACGGUCCAGACUCCUACGGGAGGCAGCAGUAGGGAAUGUUCCGCAGUGGGCGAAAGCCUGACGGAGCAACGCCGCGUGAGUGAUGAAGGUCUUCGGAUCGUAAAACUCUGUUAUUAGGGAAGAACAAAUGUGUAAGUAACUAUGCACGUCUUGACGGUACCUAAUCAGAAAGCCACGGCUAACUACGUG
RNAcentral lists this ribosomal RNA (497 nucleotides) under uncultured bacterium. RNAcentral describes it as "partial 16S ribosomal RNA". It matches the Rfam family "Bacterial small subunit ribosomal RNA", at positions 28 to 507 of the family's 1533-position model. The record is from RNAcentral.